GAUCAUGGCUCAGGACGAACGCUGGCGGCGCGCCUAACACAUGCAAGUCGAACGAGCGAGAGAGAGCUUGCUUUCUCGAGCGAGUGGCGAACGGGUGAGUAACGCGUGAGGAACCUGCCUCAAAGAGGGGGACAACAGUUGGAAACGACUGCUAAUACCGCAUAAGCCCACGGUGCCGCAUGGCACAGAGGGAAAAGGAGCAAUCCACUUGUGANGCUCGCGUCCG
RNAcentral lists this ribosomal RNA (226 nucleotides) under uncultured bacterium. RNAcentral's name for it is "partial 16S ribosomal RNA". It matches the Rfam family "Bacterial small subunit ribosomal RNA", at positions 15 to 239 of the family's 1533-position model. The record is from RNAcentral.